Molecule: ribosomal RNA, 482 nt
Filed under: uncultured bacterium
Lineage: Bacteria
Description: partial 16S ribosomal RNA
Rfam family: Bacterial small subunit ribosomal RNA
Source: RNAcentral
AUUGAACGCUGGCGGCAUGCUCUACACAUGCAAGUCGAACGGUAACAGGCCGCAAGGUGCUGACGAGUGGCGAACGGGUGAGUAAUGCGUCGGAACGUGCCCAGUCGUGGGGGAUAACUACUCGAAAGAGUAGCUAAUACCGCAUACGAUCUAUGGAUGAAAGCGGGGGACCGUAAGGCCUCGCGCGAUUGGAGCGGCCGAUGUCAGAUUAGGUAGUUGGUGGGGUAAAGGCUCACCAAGCCAACGAUCUGUAGCUGGUCUGAGAGGACGACCAGCCACACUGGGACUGAGACACGGCCCAGACUCCUACGGGAGGCAGCAGUGGGGAAUUUUGGACAAUGGGCGCAAGCCUGAUCCAGCAAUGCCGCGUGCAGGAAGAAGGCCUUCGGGUUGUAAACUGCUUUUGUACGGAACGAAACGGCUCUGGUUAAUACCCGGGGCUAAUGACGGUACCGUAAGAAUAAGCACCGGCUAACUACGUG